AACUUUUAGCAAUGGAUCUCUUGGCUCUGGCAUCGAUGAAGAACGCAGCGAAAUGCGAUAAGUAAUGUGAAUUGCAGAAUUUAGUGAAUCAUCGAAUCUUUGAACGCACAUUGCGCCCUGUGGUAUUCCGCAGGGCAUGCCUGUUCGAGCGUCAGUACAACACUCAAGCUCAGCUUGGUCUUGAGCCCAGCCGGUCACGGCGGGCUUUAAAACUAGUGGCGGCGCCCCCUGGCUCUUAGCGUAGUAAUACCCCUCGCUACUGGGUCCCGGUGGACGCUGGCCAGCAACCCCCAACUCUCUAAGUUCGACCUCGGAUUAGGUAGGGAUACCCGCUGAACUUAAGCAUAUCAAUAAGCGGAGGCU
Molecule: unclassified non-coding RNA, 363 nt
Filed under: uncultured Helotiales
Lineage: Eukaryota; Fungi; Ascomycota; Leotiomycetes; Helotiales
Description: sequence contains ITS2
Rfam family: 5.8S ribosomal RNA (bases 1-154)
Source: RNAcentral